Molecule: ribosomal RNA, 430 nt
Filed under: uncultured bacterium
Lineage: Bacteria
Description: bacterial SSU rRNA
Rfam family: Bacterial small subunit ribosomal RNA
Source: RNAcentral
GUGGGGAAUCUUGCGCAAUGGGCGAAAGCCUGACGCAGCGACACCGCGUGAGGGACGAAGGCCCUCGGGUUGUAAACCUCUUUCGGCAGGGACGAAGCGAUCGUGACGGUACCUGCAGAAGAAGCCCCGGCUAACUACGUGCCAGCAGCCGCGGUAAGACGUAGGGGGCGAGCGUUGUCCGGAUUCAUUGGGCGUAAAGAGCGCGCAGGCGGCUUGGUAAGUCGGAUGUGAAAUCCCGGAGCUCAACUCCGGGCCUGCAUCCGAUACUGCCCGGCUAGAGGUAGGUAGGGGAGAUCGGAAUUCCUGGUGUAGCGGUGAAAUGCGCAGAUAUCAGGAGGAACACCGGUGGCGAAGGCGGAUCUCUGGGCCUUACCUGACGCUCAGGCGCGAAAGCUAGGGGAGCGAACAGGAUUAGAAACCCCGGUAGUCC